RNAcentral lists this ribosomal RNA (467 nucleotides) under uncultured bacterium. RNAcentral's name for it is "partial 16S ribosomal RNA". It matches the Rfam family "Bacterial small subunit ribosomal RNA", at positions 28 to 507 of the family's 1533-position model. The record is from RNAcentral.
GACGAACGCUGGCGGCGUGCUUAACACAUGCAAGUCGAACGGAAAGGCCCUGCUUUUGUGGGGUGCUCGAGUGGCGAACGGGUGAGUAACACGUGAGUAACCUGCCCUUGACUUUGGAUAACUUCAGGAAACUGGGGCUAAUACCGGAUAGGAGCUCCUGCUGCAUGGUGGGGGUUGGAAAGUUUUGGCGGUUGGGGAUGGACUCGCGGCUUAUCAGCUUGUUGGUGGGGUAGUGGCUUACCAAGGCUUUGACGGGUAGCCGGCCUGAGAGGGUGACCGGCCACAUUGGGACUGAGAUACGGCCCAGACUCCUACGGGAGGCAGCAGUGGGGAAUAUUGCACAAUGGGCGGAAGCCUGAUGCAGCAACGCCGCGUGCGGGAUGACGGCCUUCGGGUUGUAAACCGCUUUCGCCUGUGACGAAGCGUGAGUGACGGUAAUGGGUAAAGAAGCACCGGCUAACUACGUG